UCUUUUGCAGGUGAAAACAUUUGUAGUAAAUUGGAAAAUUCAUCAAAAGUUUUGGUUUUUCAUGGAUUACAGCUCAGCCCCUUCAUUCUGAGAAGGAUCUGCAGCAACGUGUUCAGAUUGACUCUUCUCGGAAAAGACACUCUGGUGCCACUGAUUGAUCUUCAGGGAGUGAUCGUCCUUGCCAGAGCACUCCUCAUUCGAGCAGCGUGUUAACGUACCUUCGACAUGGGGAUUCCUUGAAACCGCUUCACAUGAGCCAUGUUCAUCCAGGACAGUAACCACAGAUGCGUCCUCUGUCCUAACCCGGCGGAGACUCCCGACACAUGGAUUCAGACCGGAGUUAUAGAGGUGCUUGGACAAUGACGGCACGACAUGCUCGUCAUUUCCACAGCACUGUGACAGAAAUGCCACUGCCCCACUAAUAAAAAGUCAAGAGGCCACAACAGUAUAAUGGAUGGUUCUGAAUUGGUUUCUAAUGAGAUCUGUAGGAGAUGUCGUCGACCUCAACCUUUGCCAAUGUCAAAAGGCCAGAAAACGUUUUGUGUGUGUCACCUAUCGGGGCUGCAAUAGGUGCAAUUUAGUGGUUGGGGGUUUUAGUCUUGUUGUAUCAUGUUAUACUGUAG
Molecule: long non-coding RNA, 623 nt
Organism: Hippoglossus stenolepis (Pacific halibut)
Lineage: Eukaryota; Metazoa; Chordata; Actinopteri; Pleuronectiformes; Pleuronectidae
Exons: 4
Source: RefSeq, a predicted model, not a curated record